RNAcentral lists this ribosomal RNA (465 nucleotides) under uncultured bacterium. Its description in RNAcentral is "partial 16S ribosomal RNA". It matches the Rfam family "Bacterial small subunit ribosomal RNA", at positions 28 to 507 of the family's 1533-position model. The record is from RNAcentral.
GACGAACGCUGGCGGCGUGCUUAACACAUGCAAGUCGAACGGAAAGGCCCUGCUUGCAGGGUACUCGAGUGGCGAACGGGUGAGUAACACGUGGGUGAUCUGCCCUGCACUUCGGGAUAAGCCUGGGAAACUGGGUCUAAUACCGGAUAGGAGCCAUUUUUAGUGUGAUGGUUGGAAAGUUUUUUCGGUGUAGGAUGAGCUCGCGGCCUAUCAGCUUGUUGGUGGGGUAAUGGCCUACCAAGGCGGCGACGGGUAGCCGGCCUGAGAGGGUGGACGGCCAACAUGGGGACUGGGUAACGGCCAGGAUUCCAAGGGGGGCAACCGGGGGGAAUAUUGGCACAUGGGGGCCAGGCUGGUGGAGGCGAGCCGCGGGGGGGAAGGCCGCCUUCGGGGUGUUAAACCCUUUUGCUAAGGAAGAAACUUUUUGUGACGGUAACUUGAUAAGAAGCCACGGCUAAAUUACUG